AUUGAACGCUGGCGGCAGGCCUAACACAUGCAAGUCGAGCGGAUGAAGGGAGCUUGCCCCUGGAUUCAGCGGCGGACGGGUGAGUAAUGCCUAGGAAUCUGCCUGGUAGUGGGGGAUAACGUCCGGAAACGGGCGCUAAUACCGCACACGUCCUGAGGGAGAAAGUGGGGGAUCUUCGGACCUCACGCUAUCAGAUGAGCCUAGGUCGGAUUAGCUAGUUGGUGGGGUAAAGGCCUACCAAGGCGACGAUCCGUAACUGGUCUGAGAGGAUGAUCAGUCACACUGGAGCUGCGACACGGUCCAGACUCCUACGGGAGGCAGCAGUGGGGAAUAUUGGACAAUGGGCGAAAGCCUGAUCCAGCCAUGCCGCGUGUGUGAAGAAGGUCUUCGGAUUGUAAAGCACUUUAAGUUGGGAGGAAGGGCAGUAAGUUAAUACCUUGCUGUUUUGACGUUACCAACAGAAUAAGCACCGGCUAACUUCGUG
Molecule: ribosomal RNA, 484 nt
Filed under: uncultured bacterium
Lineage: Bacteria
Description: partial 16S ribosomal RNA
Rfam family: Bacterial small subunit ribosomal RNA
Source: RNAcentral